AUGGAGAAGAUGGCAGGGAUGCUGGAGAAUUUGAGGUUGUUGGAGGAAGAGAGUAAAGGGAUGAAGAUCAGGAGGGUUGAGAAGGGGAAGGGGAAGCAGGUCGAGAUCCGCGCGAUCGGGAAGGUCAUGGCGGAGAGGCUGACGCACCCUGAUGCGAUCUGUAACUCAUUAGGAAUGAUAUGGAGCCCCAUACACGGGGUCGAUUGCAAGGACCUGGGUGAGAACAGAUUCAUGUUUAUCUUCAAAUAGGAGAGGGAGAAGAGGAAAGCACUGGAGGAUGGUCCUUGGAUGUUCGACAAUGCCUUGGUGGUGAUGGAGGAGUUUGACCCGAGCAAGCGGAUUGAUGACUAUGAGUUUAAGGAAAUUCUGAUCUGGAUUAGGGUGUAUGGGUUUCCCCUACGUGACAUGGAUGAGGACACCGGAGAGAUGAUCGGGAACAUGGUGGGGGAGUUUGUGGAAGUGGACACUGGGGCAGAUGGUAGAACAAUCGGAAAAUAUCUGAGAGUGAAGGUGAGACUCCAAAUUGGCAAACCUCUGAUGCGUGGGUUCAAGCUUGACACAGAACGGGAAGAAGGGGCAUAUGAGGAGGAAGACAACCGGAGGAGAGUGGACAAGGAGACCAAUCAAAGCAAGGAGGAGGAUAGGAAGGAGGAGGAACAGUGGUGCCGGUUUGAGUACGAAUAUAUACCCGAUUUCUGCUAUAUUUGUGGAAGGCUAGGCCAUGUCAAUCGAGAAUGCCUUAUCAAACUGAAGAAGGGGGAGAGGGCCCAAUUUGGCCAAUGGUUGAAGGCGUACAUGGGAACGAGGAGGAGUGUUGGACAGGAGGGAUCAUGGAGGAGCUCGUCUCGCGGCAACAGCGGUAGCCAUGUUGAAAGGAUCGAUAUAGUUCACUAG
This 894-nucleotide ribosomal RNA is filed under the name Triticum aestivum (bread wheat). RNAcentral's name for it is "partial small subunit ribosomal RNA". The record is from RNAcentral. Lineage: Eukaryota; Viridiplantae; Streptophyta; Magnoliopsida; Poales; Poaceae.